RNAcentral lists this non-coding RNA (184 nucleotides) under Ruminococcus sp. RNAcentral describes it as "6S RNA". It matches the Rfam family "6S / SsrS RNA". Rfam says of the family: E. coli 6S RNA was the first non coding RNA to be sequenced, but its function was unknown until recently. It consists of 184 nucleotides that fold into an extended hairpin structure with a large single-stranded internal bulge. Lineage: Bacteria; Bacillati; Bacillota; Clostridia; Eubacteriales; Oscillospiraceae. The record is from RNAcentral.
GAUAUUCUGCCUUGUGCGUUUGGUUUAGUUUUUUAAAUCCAACACUUAUUAAAAGGGAUUUGUCGGCUGCUGCGGAUUGCAGACCUCCCGUCCUGCGGAAGAAGGGAGCGUGAAACAGCAGGGACAUUGCCCACCUGCUGUAUGCGGGUUUUUAUUGCUUCACCGACGGCAAGGCGGUUAAUUG